CAGCCGCCGCGGGAAUACGUAGGGUGCGAGCGUUAAUCGGAAUUACUGGGCAUAAAGCGUGCGCAGGCGGUUCGUUAAGACAGAUGUGAAAUCCCCGGGCUUAACCUGGGAACUGCAUUUGUGACUGGCGAGCUAGAGUAUGGCAGAGGGGGGUAGAAUUCCACGUGUAGCAGUGAAAUGCGUAGAGAUGUGGAGGAAUACCGAUGGCGAAGGCAGCCCCCUGGGCCAAUACUGACGCUCAUGCACGAAAGCGUGGGGAGCAAACAGGAUUAGAUACCCGUGUAGUCCCUGUCUCUUAUAC
Molecule: ribosomal RNA, 301 nt
Filed under: uncultured bacterium
Lineage: Bacteria
Description: partial 16S ribosomal RNA
Rfam family: Bacterial small subunit ribosomal RNA
Source: RNAcentral